This is an RNA transcript of Canis lupus familiaris (dog), 2078 nucleotides long. It is a transcript of the gene named zinc finger protein 474, with no coding region annotated. The record is from RefSeq and is a predicted model, not a curated record. Lineage: Eukaryota; Metazoa; Chordata; Mammalia; Carnivora; Canidae. The transcript is spliced from 6 exons.
CCUCUAGGCGACAAAGGCUGUGGUUCCUCUUCCCAGCAGCCACAUGUACUGUAAGAACUCCUGCAAGAGGCAUGUGAAUCGUGGAGCUCCCAGACCAAUCUUCUGCUCCUGUUUCCACCAGCCCCCUCCCUGAGGGGCUCAGCAGGCCAUUAGAAAAGCUGAAGCCAAAAGGUGACAACAGAUGUUAUCAGAUCUUGGAGGCAUCUGAGGUUUAAUGAGGACUUUCCAGCAUUCCAGACUGCUGCCCUGCAAUGAAGCUCUGAGUCAUGGUCUUUGGGUCUAAGGAGUUGGCAACAAUGUGGAACCCCAGGACAGCCAACCUGACUAACCUUCACUCUGAGCAGAAUCCCAAAAGGAAUCUGGCCUGAAAUCAGAGCAAGCAUAGAGAAAGACUUGCUUGUUAAUGGAAACAGGAAAGGAGAAAAGGGUUUGCAACAAAUUGCAACAGACUUUCCACCAUUCUAAAGAACCCACCUUCCUUAUCAACCAAGCCCUUCUAUGUAGUGACUCCCACUCUAGCCUUUUGCCAGAAACAGAGCAUGUCAGUCUUGCUAGAAAAAUAAAGACAGGACCUCAGAAAAUGAGACCUGGAACAGUGAUACUCUCAAAACGGUCUAGUUGGAGAAUUAUGUCAGAAGGUCAGCCCAGCCCCCCAGUGAUCCCCUCCCGCAGGCCUGGAUUCCGGGUGUGCUAUAUCUGUGGCCGAGAAUUUGGGUCACAAUCAAUUGCCAUUCAUGAACCUCAGUGCUUGGAGAAGUGGCGGAUUGAAAAUAGCAAAUUGCCCAAGCACCUGAGAAGGCCAGAACCCUCCAAACCACAGCCUCUUGGGGGCACUGGGUCCUAUAAUCUUCAGGCAGUGAAUGAGGCAGCAUACCAAAGUUUCCAAGCUCAGCUGCUGCCCUGCGAAUCCUGUGGCCGCACAUUCUUGCCAGAUAGCCUUCUUAUUCACCAGAGAAGCUGCAAGCUAAAGGGUGAUAGGCCCAGAGCACCAAACCCCACCAGUUCUGAUGAUCCUGCUGGUCCCAAGAAAGCUUCUAGUGGCAUCCCAGCUCGACCAAAGACUCUCAUCUGCUACAUUUGUGGUAGGGAAUUUGGCACUCUGUCCCUUCCCAUUCAUGAGCCCAAAUGCCUGGAAAAGUGGAAAAUAGAAAAUGACCGGCUCCCCAGGGAGCAUCGCCGACCACUCCCACAGAAGCCCCAGACACUUUCAACUGGACUGUCCAACCAAGAAGGGUCAACUCAAGCACAGCUGGUGCCCUGUCCAAAUUGCUGCCGGACCUUUGCCCCAGACCGCCUUCCAGUACACCAGAGAAGCUGUAAAGCUCAACCUAGUGGGCAAAAAAUUCAGAAUUUGACUUUAGGGAGUAAAGGUGGCCUAAAAGAGUCCACUAAUUCCAAGCAACCAAGGAACAUGGCAGCACCCACUGUGACUGAUAAGUGGCCCCAAUUCACCUCAGCUGUGUUGAUGUCAUGAGACCAGUAUUGACCUCACAAACUGCCCCCUGAUGAUGCUGACAUUUGAACUACUAAUGUCCAGCUCUGUGUGCCAUGUCUUCAUCUUUCCUUGAUGCCAACCAUGCCUGCAUAUCAGGGAAGCAUGCUUGGAUCCCAUGGCUCUCAGGUGUACCAAGCACAACUGUGAGUGCUACUUACACACUUAUUGGAAAAGGUCAUUUCAUUCCACUGAAGUUUCGUGCAGCUCAGCUUAACUGGGUCUUCCCAUUAUUCGCCAACAAUGAUAAGGCGUCCACCAACAGUUGUUUGCUACAUUUGUGGUCGUGAAUAUGGAACAAAAUCUAUUGCCAUCCAUGAACCACAAUGUCUGAAAAAGUGGCAUAAUGAAAACAACUUGUUACCUAAAGAGUUAAGGAGAUCAGAACCUAAAAAACCAGAAGUCAGGACCAUUACUGCUAAAGGUUUCUAUGAUCUCGAUGCCUUAAAUGAAGCUGCUUGGACCAGUGCCCUGAGCCAGUUGGUUCCCUGUAAUAUUUGUGGGCGUACCUUCCUGCCAGACAGGCUGAUUGUUCACCAACGAUCCUGUAAACCCAAAGUCGCCAAGUAAAGCCCUCUCUCCCAGC